GCACUCGUAGCUCAGGUGAAUAGAGCAUCGCGCUUCGAACGCGAGGGUCGGAGGUUUGAGUCCUUCCGAGUGCGCCA
This 77-nucleotide transfer RNA is filed under the name Oligoflexales bacterium. RNAcentral describes it as "tRNA-Arg". It matches the Rfam family "tRNA". From Rfam's summary of the family: Transfer RNA (tRNA) molecules are approximately 80 nucleotides in length. Their secondary structure includes four short double-helical elements and three loops (D, anti-codon, and T loops). Further hydrogen bonds mediate the characteristic L-shaped molecular structure. tRNAs have two regions of fundamental functional importance: the anti-codon, which is responsible for specific mRNA codon recognition, and the 3' end, to which the tRNAs corresponding amino acid is attached (by aminoacyl-tRNA synthetases). tRNAs cope with the degeneracy of the genetic code in two manners: having more than one tRNA (with a specific anti-codon) for a particular amino acid; and 'wobble' base-pairing, i.e. permitting non-standard base-pairing at the 3rd anti-codon position. Lineage: Bacteria; Pseudomonadati; Bdellovibrionota; Oligoflexia; Oligoflexales. The record is from RNAcentral.